GAUGGGGUUUCACCAUGUUGCCCAGGCUGGUCUUAAACUCCUGACCUCAAAUGAUCCACCCACCUCGGCCUCCCAGAGUAUUGGGAUUAUAGGCAUAAGCCACCGUGCCCGGCCAAGGCUAUGUAGCUCUUUUCUUAGGCCACGUAGCUCACUCUUUUCUUAGGCUGUGUAGUUCACUUUCCCAGUGCAAACUUUGGGAAAAGCUCUGUGCCACAGGCUCCAUUCCUGUUUGCCACAUCACAAAUACCAAUCAUUGCUCUAAGGAGUGGAUGAUUUGAUGAGAAUAUUCAGUUCUUACACCACUACUAGAGGAGGAACACUGACUGCCUUGUCGUGGAUGUGGUCUGGCAGUUUCUGUAGGUAGGAGUGGUGGAUUGUCUCCAAAUGUGGCCACCGACAGUGCCUCCCAUUCCUGUGUGUGCAUGCUGCUUCUCCCACUAGAAGGUGUCUUUUACUUUCCUUCUCUUUGCAUCUGGAACUUGUUUUGACCAGUUGGACCUAGCAGAAGUGGGGCCCUGUGACUUCCAGGCCUUAUGAAAUCUUGUAGCAUUGUUUUUCCCUUUUAGAGCCAGCUGUGAUGUAAAGAAGUUUGUGCUGCAUGAGAGAGAUAGCACCUGAAGAAAAUGAGGCCCUGGAGGAUGAGAGACUCUAAAGGAAAAGGGAAGGGCCUGCUGUCUUCCAGCCACGCCAGCCCCCAACUGAGAAGCUGGUGCCCUUGGUGUGGUGGAAGCAAGGUGCCAUGUGAUAAGUAAGCCUCCAGAGAGGCCUGCAUGGCAGGAUCCAAUGUCUUUAGCCAACAGCAUCUGGGAACCUGAGACCUGCCAACACCCUUGUGAGUGAGCCUGGAAGUGGACCUCCUGCUCUUGAACCUUGAGGUGACUAUAGUGCUGGCUGACACCUUGACUGCAGUCCCUGAGCUGGGGGGCCCAGCUGAUCUACUCCCAGAAUCCCCCCUACUAAAACAGUGAUAUAAUAAAUGCUUAUUGUUUCAAGCUGG
Molecule: long non-coding RNA, 997 nt
Filed under: Homo sapiens (human)
Lineage: Eukaryota; Metazoa; Chordata; Mammalia; Primates; Hominidae
Description: HSALNT0380906
Source: RNAcentral